GAGACAUAGAAGAAGGGUGAGAUGUAAGAGAAUGAGACACAGGACAAUAAUUGGAUAGAUAUGCUCACAUGCAGGUGCAUCCAGUGCCCUAUGGAUGAUGGAUUGGUGGAUGAUGCAACAUGUCAAGGCAAAGAAGAAGAAGAAGAAAAAGAAGAAGAAGAGAAGGAGGAGGAGGAGGAGGAGGAGGGAGGUGAGGGAUGUGAGGGUAGAGGGUUGGGUUGAGGC
This 225-nucleotide unclassified non-coding RNA is filed under the name Hevea brasiliensis (rubber tree). Lineage: Eukaryota; Viridiplantae; Streptophyta; Magnoliopsida; Malpighiales; Euphorbiaceae. The record is from RNAcentral.